This 84-nucleotide ribosomal RNA is filed under the name Salmonella enterica subsp. enterica serovar Typhimurium str. DT104. Lineage: Bacteria; Pseudomonadati; Pseudomonadota; Gammaproteobacteria; Enterobacterales; Enterobacteriaceae. The record is from RNAcentral.
UGGCGGCACUAGCGCGGUGGUCCCACCUGACCCCAUGCCGAACUCAGAAGUGAAACGCCGUAGCGCCGAUGGUAGUGUGGGGUC